Molecule: ribosomal RNA, 253 nt
Filed under: uncultured bacterium
Lineage: Bacteria
Description: partial 16S ribosomal RNA
Rfam family: Bacterial small subunit ribosomal RNA
Source: RNAcentral
UACGGAGGGUGCAAACGUUGCUCGGAAUCAUUGGGCGUAAAGCGCACGUAGGCGGCUAGAUAAGUCGGGUGUGAAAGCCCUGGGCUCAACCCAGGAAGUGCAUUCGAAACUGUCUAGCUUGAAUCUCGGAGGGGGUCAGAGAAUUCCCGGUGUAGAGGUGAAAUUCGUAGAUAUCGGGAGGAAUACCAGUGGCGAAGGCGCUGACCUGGACGAAGAUUGACGCUGAGGUGCGAAAGCGCGGGGAGCCAACAGG